UACAGAGGGUGCAAGCGUUAAUCGGAAUUACUGGGCGUAAAGCGUGCGUAGUCGGUUAUCUAAGUCGGAUGUGAAAUCCCCGGGCUCAACCUGGGAAUUGCAUUCGAAACUGAAUAGCUAGAGUUCGGCAGAGGGAAGUGGAAUUUCGGGUGUAGCGGUGAAAUGCGUAGAUAUCCGAAGGAACAUCAGUGGCGAAAGCGACUUCCUGGACCAGAACUGACGAUCAGGCACGAAAGCGUGGGGAGCAAAC
RNAcentral lists this ribosomal RNA (250 nucleotides) under uncultured bacterium. Its description in RNAcentral is "partial 16S ribosomal RNA". It matches the Rfam family "Bacterial small subunit ribosomal RNA", at positions 524 to 773 of the family's 1533-position model. The record is from RNAcentral.